Caenorhabditis elegans is the source of this 21-nucleotide non-coding RNA. The record is from Ensembl. NCBI's taxonomy places the organism in Eukaryota, Metazoa, Nematoda, Chromadorea, Rhabditida, Rhabditidae.
CUGCACGAAGUGUUUUUUCAA